CCUGCCCCACAACCUGGGCUUACUGGACAGACUUCCGUUGGAGGCGUGGCCCGGCCGUGGCCGGUUGGGCACGCCCUUUUCCUAGUCCCACUCUCGGUCUCUGACGCUCUAAUACUCUUCCUCCACCGCUGGGGCUUUUAGUGAUCCUCAGGUCCCCAUCUCUGCAUAAAGACAGGAAUCUUCACAGGGAGACAAGGUCUGUGGAGGCAGCUCAGAAAUCAGAUCUACCUAUCAUCAGAUUCCCUUCAUCUAGAAUACUUCUUGGACUUCUUCAUCAGAAGAUUCUGCUCCAUCUCCAUGAUCUCCAACAUGGUACUCUCAACUGAAGACUUCCUUUGUUGACUAAAGUUGUUAAUUAUUUCAAGUAGUUUUUAAGUUGUCUCUAGGAUUUUCCAAGUAUAGCAUUGUAUCAUAUACAAAGAAUGAAAGUUUUCUUUCCUCAAUGCCUAUUCUAAUUCCUUCAAUUUCUUUUUCUUCUCUUAUUAAUAUAGCUAGUAUUUCUAGUAAAGUAAUGAAGAAUAGUGGUAUCCUUGUUUUCCAAUCCUGAUCUUACUGGGAAUGCUUCUAGCUUAUCCCUAUAAAAAGUAAUGCUUACAGAUGGUUUCAGAAGGUUACUACUUAUCAUUUUACAGAAAGCUCCAUUUAUUCCUAUGCUUUAUUCUUUUUAUUUAUUGUUUUUAAUAGGAAUAAGUGUUAUAUUUUGUCAAAAGCUUUUUCUUGAUCUAGUAAGAUAAUCAUAUGAUUUCUAUUGGUAUUAUUAUCAAUAUAGUAAAUUAUGCUAAUAGUUUUCCCAAUAUUGAACUAGCUUGGAAUAAAUCUCUAAAAUGUA
This is a long non-coding RNA of Monodelphis domestica (gray short-tailed opossum), 829 nucleotides long. RefSeq lists it as uncharacterized. NCBI's taxonomy places the organism in Eukaryota, Metazoa, Chordata, Mammalia, Didelphimorphia, Didelphidae. The record is from RefSeq and is a predicted model, not a curated record.